CAAUAGCGUAUAUUAAAGUUGUUGCAGUUAAAAAGCUCGUAGUUGGAUUUCUGAUCGAGACAUCAGGUCGGGUCCGAGAGGAUCAUGUACUUUGAUUUGUUUUGAUUAUCCUUGGGGAGAGCAUUUCUGGCAUUCAGUUGUCGGGAUUGGGAUCCUCAUCGUUUACUGUGAAAAAAUUAGAGUGUUCAAAGCAGGCCUCGGCCUCUGAAUACAUUAGCAUGGAAUAAUAAGAUAGGACUUUGGUGGUCUAUUUUGUUGGUUUGCACGCCAAAGUAAUGAUUAAUAGGGAUAGUUGGGGGUAUUCGUAUUCAAUUGUCAGAGGUGAAAUUCUUGGAUUUAUGGAAGACGAACUACUGCGAAAGCAUUUACCAAGGAUGUUUUCAUUAA
Molecule: ribosomal RNA, 387 nt
Filed under: uncultured eukaryote
Lineage: Eukaryota
Description: partial 18S ribosomal RNA
Rfam family: Eukaryotic small subunit ribosomal RNA
Source: RNAcentral